GACGAACGCUGGCGGCGUGCUUAACACAUGCAAGUCGAACGAUGAACCUCGAAAUGAUUUCUUCGGAAAGAUUUUUGAGAGGAUUAGUGGCGAACGGGUGAGUAACGCGUGAGCAACCUGCCUUAGACAAGGGGAUAGCCUCGGGAAACCGUGAUUAAUACCCUAUGAGACUCCACUUACGAGUGUAAGAGAAGUUAAAGCUAUUGCGGUCUAAGAUGGGCUCGCGUCUGAUUAGCUAGUUGGUGAGAUAAAAGCCCACCAAGGCGACGAUCAGUAACCGGGUGGAGAGAGGGAACGGUCACAAUGGAACUGAGACACGGUCCAAACUCCUACGGGAGGCAGCAGUGGGGAAUAUUGCACAAUGGGGGCAACCCUGAUGCAGCGACGCCGCGUGAGCGAUGAAGGAAUUCGUUUCGUAAAGCUCUGUCCUUGGAGAAGAUAAUGACGGUAACCAAGGAGGAAGCACCGGCUAAAUACGUG
This 480-nucleotide ribosomal RNA is filed under the name uncultured bacterium. RNAcentral's name for it is "partial 16S ribosomal RNA". It matches the Rfam family "Bacterial small subunit ribosomal RNA", at positions 28 to 507 of the family's 1533-position model. The record is from RNAcentral.